AUAAACUAAAGUCGAACACCCCCUAGGCUGUUAUACGCUUCUGGGGGAACGAAGCCCCACUACGAAGGUGGCUUUAAUACACCUGAACCCACGACAACUAAGAUACAAACUGGGAUUAGAUACCCCACUAUGCUUAGCCAUAAACUUUGAUGUUAAUUUACACCUAAUAUCCGCCAGGGAACUACAAGCGUUAGCUUAAAACCCAAAGGACUUGGCGGUGCCUCACACCCACCUAGAGGAGCCUGUUCUUGAAUCGAUAAUCCCCGUUCAACCUCACCACCCCUUGUUAGACCCGCCUAUAUACCGCCGUCGUCAGCUCACCCUGUGAAGGACUUAAAGUGAGCAAAAUGGGCAAAACCCAGAACGUCAGGUCAAGGUGCAGCGUAUGAGGUGGGAAGUAAUGGGCUACAUUACCUACGAUAGGUUACUACGGAUGGAGCCGUGAAACUGGCUCCUGAAGGUGGAUUUAGCAGUAAGGGGGAAAUAGAGAGUUCUCCUGAAGCCGGCUCUGAGGCGCGCACAUACCGCCCGUCACUCUCUCCAAGUUCACUAAAUUUGGUUCUUAACAAGAUCACCGAACAAAGGGGAGGCAAGUCGUAA
RNAcentral lists this ribosomal RNA (600 nucleotides) under Mallotus villosus (capelin). RNAcentral's name for it is "partial 12S ribosomal RNA". It matches the Rfam family "Bacterial small subunit ribosomal RNA", at positions 646 to 1491 of the family's 1533-position model. Lineage: Eukaryota; Metazoa; Chordata; Actinopteri; Osmeriformes; Salangidae. The record is from RNAcentral.